UCUACUUUUCUCUAUAUUGUUCUUGUUCUUAUAUUAUUUCAUAACAGACUAUGAUUUUUCUUUUUUUUUAGAAUUACAAAACGACUUCCACUGUAAAGAUGGUUAGACACUACAUCAAACCACAACAAAUUCAAAAAGAAAAUAGCAGCAAAAUCAGGUUUUACUCUCUUAUAACUUCAAUACUUAUAUUCUAUAAUCUUUAUACAUGUAUUCCUUGUGAUUUUUG
This 226-nucleotide long non-coding RNA is filed under the name Nicotiana benthamiana. Its description in RNAcentral is "long non-coding RNA (NBEN_LNC002718)". The record is from RNAcentral. Lineage: Eukaryota; Viridiplantae; Streptophyta; Magnoliopsida; Solanales; Solanaceae.